CCUACGGGAGGCAGCAGUGGGGGAUAUUGCACAAUGGGGGGAACCCUGAUGCAGCGACGCCGCGGGGGUGAAGAAGCGCCUCGGCGCGUAAAGCCCUGUCAGCAGGGAAGAAAAUGACGGUACCUGAAGAAGAAGCCCCGGCUAACUACGUGCCAGCAGCCGCGGUAAUACGUAGGGGGCAAGCGUUAUCCGGAUUUACUGGGUGGAAAGGGGGCGCAGACGGCGAUGCAAGCCAGGAGUGAAAGCCCGGGGCCCAACCCCGGGACUGCUCUGUGAAAUGCGUGGCUGGAGUGCAGGAGGGGCAGGCGGAAUUCCUGGUGUAGCGGUGAAAUGCGUAGAUAUCAGGAGGAACACCGGUGGCGAAGGCGGCCUGCUGAACUGCAACUGACGUUGAGGCCCGAAAGCGUGGGGAGCAAACAGGAUUAGAUACCCGGGUAGUC
Molecule: ribosomal RNA, 440 nt
Filed under: uncultured bacterium
Lineage: Bacteria
Description: partial 16S ribosomal RNA
Rfam family: Bacterial small subunit ribosomal RNA
Source: RNAcentral